Molecule: ribosomal RNA, 497 nt
Filed under: uncultured bacterium
Lineage: Bacteria
Description: partial 16S ribosomal RNA
Rfam family: Bacterial small subunit ribosomal RNA
Source: RNAcentral
GAUGAACGCUGGCGGCGUGCCUAAUACAUGCAAGUCGAGCGAACAGACGAGGAGCUUGCUCCUCUGACGUUAGCGGCGGACGGGUGAGUAACACGUGGAUAACCUACCUAUAAGACUGGGAUAACUUCGGGAAACCGGAGCUAAUACCGGAUAAUAUAUUGAACCGCAUGGUUCAAUAGUGAAAGACGGUUUUGCUGUCACUUAUAGAUGGACCCGCGCCGCAUUAGCUAGUUGGUAAGGUAACGGCUUACCAAGGCAACGAUGCGUAGCCGACCUGAGAGGGUGAUCGGCCACACUGGAACUGAGACACGGUCCAGACUCCUACGGGAGGCAGCAGUAGGGAAUCUUCCGCAAUGGGCGAAAGCUUGACGGGGCAACGCCGCGUGAGUGAUGAAGGUCUUCGGAUCGUAAAACUCUGUUAUUAGGGAAGAACAAAUGUGUAAGUAACUAUGCACGUCUUGACGGUACCUAAUCAGAAAGCCACGGCUAACUACGUG